This 766-nucleotide ribosomal RNA is filed under the name uncultured Streptococcus sp. RNAcentral describes it as "bacterial SSU rRNA". It matches the Rfam family "Bacterial small subunit ribosomal RNA", at positions 28 to 776 of the family's 1533-position model. The record is from RNAcentral. Lineage: Bacteria; Bacillati; Bacillota; Bacilli; Lactobacillales; Streptococcaceae.
GACGAACGCUGGCGGCGUGCCUAAUACAUGCAAGUAGAACGCUGAAGAGAGGAGCUUGCUCUUCUUGGAUGAGUUGCGAACGGGUGAGUAACGCGUAGGUAACCUGCCUCUUAGCGGGGGAUAACUAUUGGAAACGAUAGCUAAUACCGCAUAAAAGUCGACAUCGCAUGAUGUUGACUUGAAAGGUGCAAUUGCAUCACUAAGAGAUGGACCUGCGUUGUAUUAGCUAGUUGGUGAGGUAACGGCUCACCAAGGCGACGAUACAUAGCCGACCUGAGAGGGUGAUCGGCCACACUGGGACUGAGACACGGCCCAGACUCCUACGGGAGGCAGCAGUAGGGAAUCUUCGGCAAUGGGGGCAACCCUGACCGAGCAACGCCGCGUGAGUGAAGAAGGUUUUCGGAUCGUAAAGCUCUGUUGUAAGAGAAGAACGAGUGUGAGAGUGGAAAGUUCACACUGUGACGGUAACUUACCAGAAAGGGACGGCUAACUACGUGCCAGCAGCCGCGGUAAUACGUAGGUCCCGAGCGUUAUCCGGAAUUAUUGGGCGUAAAGGGCUUGUAGGCGGUUGGUCGCGUCUGCCGUGAAAUCCUCUGGCUUAACUGGGGGCGUGCGGUGGGUACGGGCUGACUUGAGUGCGGUAGGGGAGACUGGAACUCCUGGUGUAGCGGUGGAAUGCGCAGAUAUCAGGAAGAACACCGGUGGCGAAGGCGGGUCUCUGGGCCGUUACUGACGCUGAGGAGCGAAAGCGUGGGGAGCGAACAGG